This 1482-nucleotide ribosomal RNA is filed under the name Klebsiella pneumoniae. Its description in RNAcentral is "partial 23S ribosomal RNA". It matches the Rfam family "Bacterial large subunit ribosomal RNA", at positions 1 to 1521 of the family's 2925-position model. Lineage: Bacteria; Pseudomonadati; Pseudomonadota; Gammaproteobacteria; Enterobacterales; Enterobacteriaceae. The record is from RNAcentral.
GGGUUGUGAGGUUAAGCGACUAAGCGUACACGGUGGAUGCCCUGGCAGUCAGAGGCGAUGAAGGACGUGCUAAUCUGCGAAAAGCGUCGGUAAGGUGAUAUGAACCGUUACAGCCGGCGAUGUCCGAAUGGGGAAACCCAGUGCAAUUCGUUGCACUAUCGUUAACUGAAUACAUAGGUUAACGAGGCGAACCGGGGGAACUGAAACAUCUAAGUACCCCGAGGAAAAGAAAUCAACCGAGAUUCCCCCAGUAGCGGCGAGCGAACGGGGAGCAGCCCAGAGUCUGAAUCAGCUUGUGUGUUAGUGGAACGGUCUGGAAAGUCCGACGGUACAGGGUGAUAGUCCCGUACACCAAAAUGCACAGGCUGUGAACUCGAAGAGUAGGGCGGGACACGUGGUAUCCUGUCUGAAUAUGGGGGGACCAUCCUCCAAGGCUAAAUACUCCUGACUGACCGAUAGUGAACCAGUACCGUGAGGGAAAGGCGAAAAGAACCCCGGCGAGGGGAGUGAAAAAGAACCUGAAACCGUGUACGUACAAGCAGUGGGAGCACCUUCGGGUGUGACUGCGUACCUUUUGUAUAAUGGGUCAGCGACUUAUAUUCUGUAGCAAGGUUAACCGUAUAGGGGAGCCGCAGGGAAACCGAGUCUUAACUGGGCGUUAAGUUGCAGGGUAUAGACCCGAAACCCGGUGAUCUAGCCAUGGGCAGGUUGAAGGUUGGGUAACACUAACUGGAGGACCGAACCGACUAAUGUUGAAAAAUUAGCGGAUGACUUGUGGCUGGGGGUGAAAGGCCAAUCAAACCGGGAGAUAGCUGGUUCUCCCCGAAAGCUAUUUAGGUAGCGCCUCGUGAAUUCAUCUUCGGGGGUAGAGCACUGUUUCGGCUAGGGGGUCAUCCCGACUUACCAACCCGAUGCAAACUACGAAUACCGAAGAAUGUUAUCACGGGAGACACACGGCGGGUGCUAACGUCCGUCGUGAAGAGGGAAACAACCCAGACCGCCAGCUAAGGUCCCAAAGUCAUGGUUAAGUGGGAAACGAUGUGGGAAGGCACAGACAGCCAGGAUGUUGGCUUAGAAGCAGCCAUCAUUUAAAGAAAGCGUAAUAGCUCACUGGUCGAGUCGGCCUGCGCGGAAGAUGUAACGGGGCUAAACCAUGCACCGAAGCUGCGGCAGCGACACUAUGUGUUGUUGGGUAGGGGAGCGUUCUGUAAGCCUGCGAAGGUGACCUGUGAGGGUUGCUGGAGGUAUCAGAAGUGCGAAUGCUGACAUAAGUAACGAUAAAGCGGGUGAAAAGCCCGCUCGCCGGAAGACCAAGGGUUCCUGUCCAACGUUAAUCGGGGCAGGGUGAGUCGACCCCUAAGGCGAGGCCGAAAGGCGUAGUCGAUGGGAAACAGGUUAAUAUUCCUGUACUUGGUGUUACUGCGAAGGGGGGACGGAGAAGGCUAUGUUAGCCGGGCGACGGUUGUCCCGGUUUAAGCAUGU